CGAAGACCGUGAACCCCAAGACAGAGGUGGCUCGAGCGCAGGCAGCGCUGGCGGUCAACGUCAGCGCGGCGCGGGGUUUACAGGACGUGCUGAGGACCAACCUGGGGCCCAAAGGCACCAUCAAGAUGACCUUCAUCCCAGAAUAAUCACUGAAGGAUUUGAAGUUGUGAAGGAAAAGGCCCUUCAGUUUUUGGAAGAAGUCAAAGCUGUAAUGGGCUCCAUUUUGGCCAUUAAAAGAAAA
Molecule: long non-coding RNA, 241 nt
Filed under: Theropithecus gelada (gelada)
Lineage: Eukaryota; Metazoa; Chordata; Mammalia; Primates; Cercopithecidae
Description: lncRNA (ENSTGEG00000000264.1)
Source: RNAcentral